Ostrinia nubilalis (European corn borer) is the source of this 518-nucleotide long non-coding RNA. RefSeq lists it as uncharacterized. The record is from RefSeq and is a predicted model, not a curated record. The transcript is spliced from 3 exons. Lineage: Eukaryota; Metazoa; Arthropoda; Insecta; Lepidoptera; Crambidae.
AUGCACCUUAUAAUUUUUGGCUAAAGGCAGUAAACUGUAAAGUAAUUAAUAAAUUUACCAGCAGAGAACGAUAACGUUUUUACUGUCGCAAAGGUUACGAUGCAAGAAAGUGCAAUUGAUAACAGAUAAAGAUCUAAAUAAGUCAAAUGUGGAUUCAACUUAAUAUGGUGGAAUGGUGGUGCUAUGCAAGUCUGAUUUAUUUUUAAUCACUGUAUCUACCUACCUAUAGUAAAAAAACCACUUAAGAGAUGUACAAAGGCUGGUGAUGAAGUGGUUUUGCUUGGUGAUUUAGGAUAUGCUCCAAGCGCCUCACUAUGGAUCGAAAUUGCGAUUUAUGGACAUAGCAAUUUUUUUCACAAUUUCUAUUUGAAAAAAUUACCUAUCGAUAGGUUACGUUAUUCUGAUGAAUAAAUGCUGCACAAGUUUUUCUCUAAAACCAAUAGUUUGGCUGGAAAAAAAUAUUUUCCAUUUUCGUUGUAUGGAAUGAAACAUAAAGUGGUCGAUUUUGACUAAGCCUU